GACGAACGCUGGCGGCGUGCCUAAUACAUGCCAGUUGAGCGCUGAAGGUUGGUACUUGUACCAACUGGAUGAGCAGCGAACGGGUGAGUAACGCGUGGGGAAUCUGCCUUUGAGCGGGGGACAACAUUUGGAAACGAAUGCUAAUACCGCAUAAAAACUUUAAACACAAGUUUUAAGUUUGAAAGAUGCAAUUGCAUCACUCAAAGAUGAUCCCGCGUUGUAUUAGCUAGGUGGUGAGGUAAAGGCUCACCAAGGCGAUGAUACAUAGCCGACCUGAGAGGGUGAUCGGCCACAUUGGGACUGAGACACGGCCCAAACUCCUACGGGAGGCAGCAGUAGGGAAUCUUCGGCAAUGGACGAAAGUCUGACCGAGCAACGCCGCGUGAGUGAAGAAGGUUUUCGGAUCGUAAAACUCUGUUGGUAGAGAAGAACGUUGGUGAGAGUGGAAAGCUCAUCAAGUGACGGUAACUACCCAGAAAGGGACGGCUAACUACGUG
RNAcentral lists this ribosomal RNA (497 nucleotides) under uncultured bacterium. RNAcentral describes it as "partial 16S ribosomal RNA". It matches the Rfam family "Bacterial small subunit ribosomal RNA", at positions 28 to 507 of the family's 1533-position model. The record is from RNAcentral.